AGAUGUGACGGCUCUUUGGCUGCGACAUCUGUCACACCAUUGCACACACCAGGGUUGAUUCAUCUGAUCUGGCUGGUUAGGUGGGGGUCCCCUUCGUCCUUCAUUUCUUAAUCUGUGCCCCCCCCAAGCUGUUCACUCUGUCCAAGAGAACAGCAGUCCUGGAUAAAGGAGGAUUGUUCUUGGGCCCAGGGUAUGGAUG
RNAcentral lists this small nuclear RNA (199 nucleotides) under Mus musculus (house mouse). Its description in RNAcentral is "7SK RNA". It matches the Rfam family "7SK RNA", at positions 1 to 198 of the family's 331-position model. From Rfam's summary of the family: 7SK was discovered as an abundant small nuclear RNA in the mid-70s but a possible function has only recently been suggested. Two independent studies have found that 7SK RNA binds the CDK9/cyclin T complex (known as elongation factor P-TEFb). P-TEFb activates transcription by phosphorylating the C-terminal domain of RNA polymerase II. The record is from Rfam by way of RNAcentral. Lineage: Eukaryota; Metazoa; Chordata; Mammalia; Rodentia; Muridae.